This 562-nucleotide long non-coding RNA is filed under the name Gallus gallus (chicken). RNAcentral describes it as "lncRNA (ENSGALG00010000120.1)". The record is from RNAcentral. Lineage: Eukaryota; Metazoa; Chordata; Aves; Galliformes; Phasianidae.
UCAUGCAGCAUGAAAAUGGGCCUGUCAGCAGGCAAUCAGAGAGAGCAACAAGGAUUGGUGGAGCGCUGCGUCCCACCGCUCACUGUCGUCUCCUCGCGUACAGGUUUCAAAUGGAGUUUGUCCCCAAACCACCACCUGGGAUAUGCCGCAGGCCCUCAGGAGGCAUCCCUGCGGAGGGGAAACCAAAGGAAGAGGAGGCUUUGCCACCUCUCGCCCAGGGCAAGAAAGUGAGAUUUGCUGGCAAGCCAACUUUCAUCAAACGCUUGAGCUCGGACAGUCUAGAUGGAGGAAAACUCCGAAGGAUAAGGAGCUUACUGCGCAAGGAGAGCUCUACGUCCAGUCUGCUGCCAGCCAUCCCUGGAGUGCCUGAAGAACAAAAGCAGCCGCUGACCUGCCAGCUGCAGGGCCAGGCAGAAACAGACAGCCAAGAAGACCUGGGCCGAGCCCCAGGAACCAAACACGUGAGCUUCCGUGAGGAAGAACAGGAAGCGGAAAAAGCCCAUCGUGUGGCUGCAGUGCUCAAGUUGCCCAAAGCCAACGAAUCUUUCAGCAAAGAUUCCAG